This is a long non-coding RNA of Eucalyptus grandis, 555 nucleotides long. RefSeq lists it as uncharacterized. The record is from RefSeq and is a predicted model, not a curated record. Lineage: Eukaryota; Viridiplantae; Streptophyta; Magnoliopsida; Myrtales; Myrtaceae. The transcript has 2 exons.
GUGCUCUCUCCGCUUCUGAAAUCUGAAGAAGAGGACGAACACGUUUCACAGUCAAAUGCAUGCGAGCGUUUCUCACAGACCCGUGACCGAAGCAAAUCUCAAAGCUCUAGAAGGAAUAUUGUCAAGCUCCGUCGGCGAGCAAAUAGCAACCGCGACUCCAUUCCCGAUCAGGCAGCAUAUCCUUUGAUAUCCAAGUCGGCUGUGAUACACCUCGACGAGACGCCAUUCCUUUAGCCGGAGAAGGCCGCGGUUAGAGGCCACCAUAGUCAAUUCUUUGUUCAUCGUUUGAAUGUGCAUAUAUGUGUUUGUUCUGCUGGAAUUGGUUGUUGUUUGAGAUGUAUGUUCUCGGUUAUCUUGACAUUGCUGGGACUGGUCUGGUGUUAGCCGGAGUGGUGGCUGACGAAGAUGACUUGGUGACGGUGGGCAACAUUGGAUAUCGACGUGGGACGGUUUGGAGUUCCUCCGUGAGUUCGUAUAAUGAAGUUACAGUGUUGAGCUCGCCGUUGGAGAGCUCUCGGUGAAGUCUCGGGAGGGAAGAAGGGCAAAAAAGGAAAA